CAUUACUGAGUUUACGCUCUAUAACCCUUUGUGAACAUACCUAUAACUGUUGCUUCGGCGGGUAGGGUCUCCGCGACCCUCCCGGCCUCCCGCCUCCGGGCGGGUCGGCGCCCGCCGGAGGAUAACCAAACUCUGAUUUAACGACGUUUCUUCUGAGUGGUACAAGCAAAUAAUCAAAACUUUUAACAACGGAUCUCUUGGUUCUGGCAUCGAUGAAGAACGCAGCGAAAUGCGAUAAGUAAUGUGAAUUGCAGAAUUCAGUGAAUCAUCGAAUCUUUGAACGCACAUUGCGCCCGCCAGCAUUCUGGCGGGCAUGCCUGUUCGAGCGUCAUUUCAACCCUCAAGCUCUGCUUGGUGUUGGGGCCCUACAGCUGAUGUAGGCCCUCAAAGGUAGUGGCGGACCCUCCCGGAGCCUCCUUUGCGUAGUAACUUUACGUCUCGCACUGGGAUCCGGAGGGACUCUUGCCGUAAAACCCCCCAAUUUUCCAAAGGUUGACCUCGGAUCAGGUAGGAAUACCCGCUGAACUUAAGCAUAUCA
This 538-nucleotide ribosomal RNA is filed under the name Colletotrichum fructicola. RNAcentral's name for it is "eukaryotic LSU rRNA". The stretch from base 178 to 331 matches the Rfam family "5.8S ribosomal RNA". The record is from RNAcentral. Lineage: Eukaryota; Fungi; Ascomycota; Sordariomycetes; Glomerellales; Glomerellaceae.